RNAcentral lists this ribosomal RNA (253 nucleotides) under uncultured bacterium. RNAcentral describes it as "partial 16S ribosomal RNA". It matches the Rfam family "Bacterial small subunit ribosomal RNA", at positions 524 to 776 of the family's 1533-position model. The record is from RNAcentral.
UACGAAGGGUGCAAACGUUGCUCGGAAUUAUUGGGCGUAAAGCGCACGUAGGCGGCUUAGUAAGUUGGAUGUGAAAUCCCUCGGCUUAACCAAGGAAGUGCAUCCAAAACUACUGAGCUUGAGUACUAAAGAGGAUCGCGGAAUUCCUGGUGUAGCGGUGAAAUGCGCAGAUAUCAGGAAGAACACCCGUGGCGAAGGCGGCUCUCUGGGACGUGACUGACGCUGAGACGCGAAAGCGUGGGGAGCAAACAGG